This 834-nucleotide ribosomal RNA is filed under the name uncultured bacterium. RNAcentral's name for it is "bacterial SSU rRNA". It matches the Rfam family "Bacterial small subunit ribosomal RNA", at positions 8 to 796 of the family's 1533-position model. The record is from RNAcentral.
AGAGUUUGAUCCUGGCUCAGAGUGAACGCUGGCGGCGUGGAUUAGGCAUGCAAGUCGAGCGAUAUUUCAGGUGAAAAAGUUGAAGCCGUAAGGCAGAUGCAGAUUCGCUUGUUUUAUAGCGGCAGACUGGUGAGUAACACGUGAGUAAUCUACCUCCAAAUCAGGGAUAGCCUUGCGAAAGUAAGGGUAAUACCAGAUGUGUUUAUAGAAACAUAUGUUUUUAUAAGUAAAGUCGGCUCGCAAGAGUUGAUGUUUGGAGCUGAGCUCGCGUCCUAUCAGCUAGUUGGUAAGGUAACGGCUUACCAAGGCUUUUGACGGGUAGCUGGCCUGAGAGGGUGGUCAGCCACACGGGGACUGAGACACUGCCCCGACUCCUACGGGAGGCUGCAGUCGAGGAUCUUUAGCAAUGGGCGAAAGCCUGACUAUGCGACGCCGCGUGAGGGAUGAAGGUUUUCGGAUCGUAAACCUCUUUCGAUGGGGAAGAAUGCUGCCAUGCAAAUGGUAGCUUGACGGUACCUAGAGAAGAAGCCACGGCCAACUCCGUGCCAGCAGCCGCGGUAAUACGGGGGUGGCAAGCGUUACUCGGAUUUAUUGGGUGUAAAGGGCAGGUAGGCGUUCCACCAAGUUAGAAGUGAAAUCCUUUGGCUCAACCAAAGAACUGCUUCUAAAACYGGCGGAAUUGAGGCUAAAAGAGGAGAGCGGAAUUCCCGGUGUAAGGGUGAAAUCUGUAGAUAUCGGGAGGAACACCAGURGCGAAAGCGGCUCUCUAGUUUAGUCCUGACGCUGAGCUGCGAAAGCUAGGGGAGCAAACAGGAUUAGAUACCCUGGUAGUCC